Molecule: long non-coding RNA, 1054 nt
Organism: Oncorhynchus kisutch (coho salmon)
Lineage: Eukaryota; Metazoa; Chordata; Actinopteri; Salmoniformes; Salmonidae
Exons: 12
Source: RefSeq, a predicted model, not a curated record
UUCGCUCUCUCUCGCGCGUUCUUCUCUCCGAUGAGUCCACUGGUUGACUUGCUGAAGCAGAACGUCCUCUGCAUUAUGGAAGAUGAUAUGUUAGAAAUGCUUCUUUAGUAUCUACUUAUUGGUAUAGUGCUGUCCCUUAAGUCUUUCCCUGGUUAUUAGUUAAGUAGUUAACAGUAGCUACUUUGGAGCAUGGGGACUUGCAGAACCAUGCACGUGGGCAACUCUGAACGUUUUGAAACCAUGCCGUGCUGUCUGUACCUGGCUUAUGUGGACUGAACUGAAGCCGUACUCGCCAAUGACUGCGCACAUGGCAGCAGACGCUGCCCGGGUGACUUGAUUGCAAGGAGACUUAACCUCGAAAGGUGUGGAACUGAAUCAAGGAUGUGGCUGGAGUGGCGACAUCAUCUUUUGAAGGUGUGCAACAGAACCAAGGAUGUGGCUGGUGUGGAGGCAUCUGAAAAGAUUUGGGAGACUACUCCCUCCUGUCCUGUGGCUGAGCCAUACACACGGCAAGAGACUCCACCCAAAGUACUUAAUGGUGGAGACAUCACCUCAAAAGGUGUGAAGCUGCCCCAAUGAGUUGAUGGCAUGGAGACUCCAUCUGCCAAGGUGUGGAACAAUCAAUGAUGUGGCUGGAGUGGAGACAUCAUCUUUUGAAGGUGUGGAACUGAACCAACGCUGUGAAAGGUAGGCUGCCUUUGCAUAACAUCCCUGCUGUCUCAGAACUGGACAUGUCGACUGGGGUGUUCCUCGUCUGAUGCCCCUGAUUUUCAGCCACAACCUACCCUUCAGGUGCAGUCACCCGAUCACAAUUUAGAAGAGCCUUUCAUAUCUAUUGUCUUGAGUUUUGGUCAGUGGUGAUAUUUAGUUCUGAACUUUGAAGUUCAGAACUUAAGUUGUGUUUAUGGGCCCUCUAUUUGAGUGGGACACUUCACCUACUUAAGAUGUAAAGCAGUAACUAUAUGCCUUCAGUGUGUUCACACCCCAGGACUCUAUUCCAUGUUUUUUUUUCAGCUUGAAAUAAAGUGCGGUUGUUACCGGCCUACACACAGUA